RNAcentral lists this ribosomal RNA (152 nucleotides) under uncultured bacterium. RNAcentral's name for it is "partial 16S ribosomal RNA". It matches the Rfam family "Bacterial small subunit ribosomal RNA", at positions 384 to 527 of the family's 1533-position model. The record is from RNAcentral.
UGACGGAGCAACGCCGCGUGAGUGAUGAAGGCUUUCGGGUCGUAAAACUCUGUUGUUAGGGAAGAACAAGUGCUAGUUGAAUAAGCUGGCACCUUGACGGUACCUAACCAGAAAGCCACGGCUAACUACGUGCCAGCAGCCGCGGUAAAUAG